This 393-nucleotide ribosomal RNA is filed under the name uncultured bacterium. Its description in RNAcentral is "partial 16S ribosomal RNA". It matches the Rfam family "Bacterial small subunit ribosomal RNA", at positions 355 to 735 of the family's 1533-position model. The record is from RNAcentral.
UGGGGAAUUUUGGACAAUGGGCGAAAGCCUGAUCCAGCAAUGCCGCGUGUGUGAAGAAGGCCCUUCGGGUUGUAAAGCACUUUUUGUCCGGGAAAGAAAUCCUUGGCUCUAAUACAGUCGGGGGAUGACGGUACCGGAAGAAUAAGCACCGGCUAACUACGUGCCAGCAGCCGCGGUAAUACGUAGGGUGCAAGCGUUAAUCGGAAUUACUGGGCGUAAAGCGUGCGCAGGCGGUUUGCUAAGACCGAAUGUGAAAUCCCCGGGCUCAACCUGGGAACUGCAUUGGUGACUGGCAGGCUAGAGUAUGGCAGAGGGGGGUAGAAUUCCACGUGUGAGCAGUGAAAUGCGUAGAGAUGUGGAGGAAUACCGAUGGCGAAGGCAGCCCCCUGGGCC